Molecule: non-coding RNA, 72 nt
Organism: Phrynosoma platyrhinos (Desert horned lizard)
Lineage: Eukaryota; Metazoa; Chordata; Lepidosauria; Squamata; Phrynosomatidae
Source: the annotation of a GenBank genome assembly
UGCUAUGUGGUACAAUGGUUGGGGUGUUGGACUAUGACUCUAGAGACCAGGGUUCAAUCCCCAGCUUGACCA